GAGCUUGCUUCUCUGGAUGAUGUGCGAAAGGGUGAGUAACGCGUAGGUCACCUGCCAGGUAGCGGGGGAUAACUAUUGGAAACGAUAGCUAAUACCGCAGAGUAGUAGAUGUUGCAGGACUUUUGGUUAAAAGGUGCACUUGCAUCACUACCCCAGGGACCUGCGAUGUAUUAGCUAAUUGGUGGGGUAACGGCUCAACUCGGCGACGAUACCUAACCAACCUGAGAGGGUGAUCGGCCACACUGGGACUGAGACACGGCCCAGACUCCUACGGGAGGCAGCAGUAGGGAAUCUUCGGCAAUGGACGGAAGUCUGACCGAGCAACGCCGCGUGAGUGAUGAAGGUUUUCGGAUCGUAAAGCUCUGUUGUAAGAGAAGAACGAGUGUGAGAGUGGAAAGUUCACACUGUGACGGUAUCUUACCAGAAAGGGACGGCUAACUACGUGCCAGCAGCCGCGGUAAUACGUAGGUCCCGAGCGUUGUCCGGAUUUAUUGGGCGUAAAGCGAGCGCAGGCGGUUAGAUAAGUCUGAAGUUAAAGGCUGUGGCUUAACCAUAGUAGGCUUUGGAAACUGUUUAACUUGAGUGCAAGAGGGGAGAGUGGAAUUCCAUGUGUAGCGGUGAAAUGCGUAGAUAUAUGGAGG
RNAcentral lists this ribosomal RNA (641 nucleotides) under uncultured Streptococcus sp. RNAcentral's name for it is "bacterial SSU rRNA". It matches the Rfam family "Bacterial small subunit ribosomal RNA", at positions 76 to 704 of the family's 1533-position model. The record is from RNAcentral. Lineage: Bacteria; Bacillati; Bacillota; Bacilli; Lactobacillales; Streptococcaceae.